Argiope bruennichi is the source of this 6842-nucleotide long non-coding RNA. RefSeq lists it as uncharacterized. The transcript has 3 exons. The record is from RefSeq and is a predicted model, not a curated record. Lineage: Eukaryota; Metazoa; Arthropoda; Arachnida; Araneae; Araneidae.
CCAAACGCCAAGGCCUAAUGGUUUUGUAUAUUAGGGAAUUUUAAAUAUAUCAUUAUUGAAACGAUAGUGUUGAAUGCUUAACAUUUGGAAAAAUCGAGGUUCAAGCAUGCAUAAAGAUAACGGAACUUUCCUUAUUCUGGAGGGCAAGAAAUGUAAAAGAAUUGGAAAAUAUAAUUAAAAUUUACUUUUACAUUUUCAAAAUCUUGUUAGUUAUGAAAUCAAUAAAUGCUUGAUCUCGAUUGAGUAAUAAAUUUUCCGAUUGUCAGCAUAAUGGAGGCGAGAGUAUAAGAAAAUCAAUAUUACUGAAAUUCUAAAUUUUCAUAGGACCUUUUUAAGAUGUUCUAUAAUUAUGAAAUGAAAGCUCUUCACUUAUAAGCAUUUGGAAUUCGCUGCGCAUUAAGAUUUCGAUCAGAAAUUUCAUUAUUUACUCUUGCUUUUUGAAUUAAUUUGUUAUAUUUAGUUUCAAGCUGUUAAUGACAUUUAAAAAAAUUAAAUUGCUUUUUAUUGGUACAACUUCAUAUGUUUAGUCUAGACUCUCUAUUUGUGUUAACUUCCUUUGUGUAGAUUUGCCUUAAUUGAAUAAAUCUAAAUUACAUUAACAUAUUUGUUUUAUAUAUUGCUUGUAUUCUUUACUUGGAACUAUUUAUUACCCAUUUUCAUUACUUGAUAUUUACAACUUACUUGCUGAAAUCGUGAAUUAUUGCAAAUGCUAUAAUGUAAAAUAGGCGUUCGUAACAUUUCGGUCCGAUUACUUUAAAUUAACGUUAGAUUUUUGAAGUUUUAUUUGUUGAAAUUCAGAAAAAGGUAUUUGGGCUCGUAUUCAUACAAGUAGAAUGCUGUCGAAUAUUUUGAGAUUUCUAUAGUUUUCUAUCUCGAAUAUACCAAGCCAAGAAAGGUUUACAAUUAAGCACCUUGUCAUAGAUCAGAUUCGUGCAUCCAAAUAGCAUGUUUUUAAAUUCAGUUUGCCAAAAUGCAUUAUUCGAAUGAGAAUUGCGUGGCGAUAUGUAUUAUGAAGGCUUUUUUCCCAUCUAAUGCAUGGUGACGAUAAACGAAUAAAAUCGUUUUACGUAGAAGUAAUGUGAGGAGUGAAUUCUGUGCAAUAUCGUAGCUUGGAGUGACAAUAUAAAAGAAUGUGAGAAUAUGUGCGAUAAAACGCUGUAGGGUAUUCAGCCAUUGGAUUUUGGAUAACUAUCCUGAGUCAAUUAAUCGUAUUGGAUAUUGUAUGCAGUUUUGAUGUUUACGGUGUCAGCGGCGAGGGAAAGGAACAAAUUGUGGAACUGAAGUAGUGUUUGCAGCGUAUGUGAUUGUGUGCAAGAGUUAUGUGGUAGUAGUGGGGUCGGCAGCGGUGCGCGAGCGUGUGUGUAAAAGUAAAUAUUUAGUUGUAAUAAUGGUCGUUAUAUCAGUAUGGAUAAUGUGUGAAUAUUUGGUUUUGAAGGUAGUCGUUGUGGCAAUCCCCAUAAUAGAGAAUUGUGGAUUUAUGGUGGAGUUGGCAUGGGAAAAGCGCGCGAGUGAAUUUGGGAUUUUGGUGGCGACGGUGUGGGUAAUGCGUGUGCGAUAGAUAAUUAGAUUUUGAUGGAGACAGAAGCAUUGGUAAUGUGAGCGAGAGUAUUUUGAUAGUGGCGGAGGCGUGGGCAAUGUGUGUGUGCGAGAGGAAUUUGGUGGCGGAGGCGUGGGCAAUGUGUGUGUGUGCGAGAGGAAUUUGGUGGUGGCGGAGGCGUGGGCAAUGUGUGUGUGUGCGAGAGGAAUUUGGUGGUGGCGGAGGCGUGGGCAUUGUGUGUGUGUGCAAGAGGAAUUUGGUGGUGGCGGAGGCGUGGGCAUUGUGUGUGUGCGCGAGAGGAAUUUGGCGGAGGCGUGGGCAAUGUGUGUGUGCGCGAGAGGAAUUUGGCGGAGGCGUGGGCAAUGUGUGUGUGCGCGAGAGGAAUUUGGCGGAGGCGUGGGCAAUGUGUGUGUGUGCGCGAGAGGAAUUUGGCGGAGGCGUGGGCAAUGUGUGUGUGUGCGCGAGAGGAAUUUGGCGGAGGCGUGGGCAAUGGGUGUGUGUGUGCGAGAGGUAUUUGGUGGUGGCGUGGGCAAUGUGUGUGUGUGUGUUAGAAUGCCGGACUAUGGGGAGGCUUAGUUUUAAGAAAAUAUUGGGUAGAAUUGAAGUGGACUUAAAAUUACCAGUGUCCUUCCUAUAUGUUAAACACCUUUGUAUUUAAAUUCCACUACUUUGACAGCAAGACUUUCAUCUAAAUAUAUAAACUGAUAAUAUUUCGAAAUUUCUACCAUGUAUUGAAAUCUUAAAUCGAGAUUUAAUGAUAAUUUAGUAGAUAAAUAGAUUAAAAUUGAAGUUAGCUUUGUGAUGGCAUUUCCUAAAAUAUUUACAAAUUACAGCCCAAAGCAACAAUUGCAUUUCAUAACUACUAUAAUAAUCGAAAUAAGAUCUCCAUGGUGUGAUUAGAAUCGACCCAUGAUACUCGAAUGAAUUUUUUUAAUGAAGGGAGAAGAUUCUAAUUCAUAUUGUUGAUAGUGUUUGUAAACCAAAAUUUUCUCCAUGCCGGAGUCUUUUAUUAAAAUUUGCUAGCUAGUAAAAUAUCUUAAUUCCUUAAAAUGCCGACUAAAAAAUAUUUUGGAUGUAAAUUAUUCUAAUUGUAUUCACUUAAUUAAGGAGGCAUUAGAAAAAGGAAGUGAUCGUUUUCGGGAAUUAACCUUAGAUUCAUUUCAAAAUUUCUGCAACUCGGAUUAAAAAUUGGCUUUCAAUCAUCCGUUAAAAUUUAACUUGCAUUUCUUGCCCUCUAGAAAAGAAAUGGUUCAGUUUCCUUAAUGCAUAUUAUACCUUCAUUAUCUGUUCGAAAUGUUCUAAAGCGUUUCGCACUAUUGUUACUUCUUUUCACUUUUGUAAUAAAAUCCUCAAUCUAUAAUAUAAAAAUUGAUCUUGUAAGUUACGUUUUGACAAAUAUCUUAACCGUAUCGUUAUUUAUUCGCGGUUGACAUCCCAUAGCAAACGCUUGUUUGACACGAUAUGGCAUAUCAAUCGUGGAGUGAAUUGAUAUUUAAGAUGUAAUAUAAUUAUGUAUAUAAUUCUUUCUAAAUAAAGUACUUGCGCCGUUGAAAUCUAUUUCCCGAAUCUGCAAAUUUUGAUUAUAUAGCUUUAAAUAUGACAAAUCUCUAUUUUAAAACUGAAAUCUGGAUAAUGGCGUGAAUGAAAAGGGAGAAUUUAAAUUGUAUUUGGAUGAAAGGGCAAUCGAAAGGAGGAGGAAAAUGUAUCGUAAGGAUGUAAUUGCAUCGAUUAAGUUGGAUGAAACAUUCCAGGUAAAUUAAAAAUGUCUCAGAAUUGAUAUAUUCAGGAAUUGUAUAAAAUUACGUAGAUUAGGUUAAUUUCAUGUUGCUCUUUCAUUUAGUUAGUGAAAUAAAAAAGUCCUUAACUUUUUUCAUAACUUCAAAAGUAUACAACUUUGUAUGGUAUACAGCCUUGUUUUGCGGAUGUAUGCUUCGUUUAUUCCGUCUUUAUUUUUUCUUCCAUAUAAUCAUAUCCCCAUAUUUUAAAUUUUCGAAUACGAUGAAUUGAUCACUGAGCCUCCUGUCUUAAUUUUGCGACGGUGUAUAAAAUUAUAAUUUUUAAUUAUACUUUAAGAACUGAAAUUUGCAAAAUCUGUCAUUCCAGCAAGAAUAGUUUUGUAAAAUUAUUUAAUAUAACGGCAAGAGAAGUCCCCUGUAGUUAAGGUUCUCUAAUAGGUUUUGGAAUUCUUUAUCCCGGAAAAAUUACUCGGCUCUCCAAUAAGAUUUUUUAAAAAAUCAUCUGAAAGUUUCUAAUAAAUUAAAGUCGUUACUUCUGGUCUGUUGAUUGAAUGCGGAAGAAUAUUCAUAAUCUCCGUUUAUUCCGCACAAGUGACUUCUAAGAGGCGAGAAUGCCUAAAUUAUGCGGAUUUUACCUGUAUAGUCUAAUGCGGCAAGGGAGAGAAUCUUGCAGAUUGCUUCUUGUAUAGCUUUCAUCCAAUGAACAGAAAGAAUAAAUGUGAAUUUGAAUGAAUUUUUGAAGUAAAAUUAACCGGAAGCUUGAAAAGAUCAUCAUAUUAAUUGGUAUGACUUAGAUUAUCUAUUGGAUUCGUUUGGUUUUUCGCUCACUUAAGCGAAAUGCAAUGCCAUGGAACUAGCCAACGAAGAACAUUUAUCUGCACUGGAUAUUAGAGCAACUCGCUACAGACGGUACCUUUUUGUGCUAUUUACCGGAUCAAUGGAACAGCGUCAAUCCUCCAUCUAUAAAGUGACUACCCUGUCAGAUCUACACACAAAUUCUAUCGAUGUGGAUUCCCAAGAGGGAUGGUUUUCACAGCGUUGUACCGAAGUGAUAUCGGUAUUCAUAAGUUGAACAGCCUACGAUCUAUAUCGGUUUUGUUGGAUAAAGGCAUUUUCAACUGGCCGUAGUCCUGUUUCAUCAGUUCAGUAUGCACGCCGAACCACUGAAGCCAAUUGUGUUGGAUGAUGGGAAUGACAUCGAAAUGUGUGAAAUUCAUGUGCAAAUCCUGACACGUUUCCCCGGAACUCGUCACAACACAGACCCCAUCUAGAGCCCUUACAAUUUAAUGGAUGGCGAUCCAACAGUUCCCGUGGAUAGUUUAUCAAGUUUGAAACCCUGAGAAACAAGCUCAAUGCAUCUUAUUUAUUAAAGAAAUUUAAACCCUUAAAUCUGCCCAGAUAGGGAAUGUGAUAUGGCCAGCGUUGACUUGUCUUUGGUUGUCUGUACAUCUUUGAGAUGGCUCUCUUCUAUUUUAACGACUACGUCCUCUGAAUGCUUGCAUAUUCUUGAAGAAAUAUUUUGAUAAAUGUAGAAAUUCUUCAUGUUUCGCCAAUCUUGAAAUUUGGCGUAGAGUUCAUUGGUAAGCCUCUUAUUUGGAUCAUCUGUUUUUCAAAACGAGUAUUUGUCCCUUCAAACAAAAUUUUGUUUUACAAUGAUUUCUUGGACAUUUUUUUUUUCAAACUGCUUGUAAAUGGAACACUAAAAUAUUGUUGCAUAUUCAGUUCAUUCAAUCAUAAUACUAUUCUCUUCUCUAGAAAUAAGAAUGCGGAAAAAAAUAGAUAGGUUAUGAAAUACUUUUGCAUUGAUCAGUUUCUUAAUCUGCCAGCAAGAUCAAAUAUUAUCAAUCUAUAUACUAUUUCCUGAAAGAGUGAACAUUCGAUUCAGUUUUUCUAUAGAACAGCUAUAACUGUAUUUUAAAAUUUUAUUGCUAACUACAAUCGGUCAGUAGAGUUGAACCAAUUGACAAGACCUUAAACAGAACUCUCAUUGACUCGGCAAUAUAGGCAGGAAUCGCAACUUCGAUCAUAGAACUGCAAUUAGUGCGAAAUAAACGACCACGAUAAUUUUCAUGGUGCAUUCCUCUGAUAUAAAUUGUCAAUCCAGAAUGAAUCUUCAAGCUAUUAGCCAUUUUAGACAGUUUUAAAUCGGAUUGCCACUGCACGAUUGUAGAAAUUUGUGCAUUUUUAUUGUCAAUAUUAACUGUUUUUGUAUUGGAUCAGAAUUUUUUUGCUCUGUACUUUAUCAAUUUUAUAAAAAUUGUAGCUCUCUGUUUUCAUAUUUGUACUGAAGGCAAUGCAGUAAAUAUGAAAGCGGCUUCAUAAUCGUUGCCCAUUUCUAGAUCUUUAUUUUGCGAUUGAAUUUUUUGAUAUUUCAAUGGUUCUAAUAAGAGUAUAAUGUUAGUAUACUGAUACAUUUUGGAUUCUAUAAGGAUCUUGACUUUUAUCUUUGAAAUAUUAGCCUUAAAUGUACAAAAGAGAAUUUUUUUUCAUGCCUAAUUUACGUUAAUGGAGCUCAAAAACUCUAAAUUUACAAGAAUUGUCACAAACUAAACCAAUCUAAAUUAAUGAAAUUCUCUAUGAUAAGCGUAUAAUAUGCAUUCAUUUGUUUUUCUAUCGUAACGCAUAUUCAUGUAUACAUAUGCCAAGAGAUGGAAAUGCCUGUAUGAUGUGUAUGAAAUAUGAGACUAAAAACUGUCAAUAUUCAUACCUUUUUAAUGAUUGUUUAAAAUUUUUAGAAAAUAUUUCUGAAACACAAAGGUAUUUUUAGCACACAAGAUAUUUGCAGUUUGAUAAAUUGUAUUCUACUUAUAUUUUAAUUUAGAAUUUGAAGAUGUUUAGUUAUUUGGACUGUAAUUUAAAAUUGAGGUAUAAUUGCUCCUGUGUGUAAUCUUUGUUAACUGUUGUAUCUUAAUGUUCGAAAAUGCCCAGCAUUAAUUGUACCUAGAUUGAAAUUUAAAGAAACGGUAAAUUUAUACUCACUAAUUUAAAUCUCUUAAACAGAUAGUAAAAUAUUUUUAUAGUCUCCAUAAAUAUACAUUUUCAUUGCAUCCAUUUGCAGCUAACGUUUAAUCUAAACUUGUGAAAUUUGAAAAAAAUAAAGUUAGAAAUGGUUAAUGGCAAGUUUAAAAUAAUUGAUCUUAAAUUCUAAAUCUUAUCGUUGAGGAUUUUAAUUUUACUUAAAUUCAUUCGCGUUUAAAGGAUGAAUUGAUUGGCUCGGCCGGCCAGCCAGUCAAAAAAUCCUUUGAUUCUUGGAAAGCAUUUGAUUAUUGUGAUUGAUCACCACGAUAAUCAGUGCCUUUUUAGAGAAAAGAAAGAAAGAAAAAAAAACCGACGCGCCCAUCCGAUUAACAUGAAUAAAAAUUAUUAUAUUCGGUAGACUUCUUAGGAAUAAAAUUCUUUGAUAAAAAACGGUGAAUGGAUGGGAUGAAUUUUACAUAAGUAGCGCGUACUGUUUUUAAUUUCUUUUUUCAGUAUUACUAGAAAAUCUUGCGAGUUCUGAAUUAUGAACUUUCUUCGGAAGUAUAAUUCGCAGAAAGCAUUCCCUUCUGAAUAAUUUUUGUGUUUAAUCU